Sander lucioperca (pikeperch) is the source of this 227-nucleotide long non-coding RNA. RefSeq lists it as uncharacterized. NCBI's taxonomy places the organism in Eukaryota, Metazoa, Chordata, Actinopteri, Perciformes, Percidae. The transcript is spliced from 3 exons. The record is from RefSeq and is a predicted model, not a curated record.
GGUCUUGCAGUCGGUGGAGAGCAACUGCGGCACCUGGCUCUAAAAAUUGCGGCCGCCUUGAUCUCGUGAGAUUAUCGUUGCCCACGUGUGCAUGACGUCAGAGCAAGUCGGGAUCAAGUCGGACACAAAUCUAACCGGCAUGCAUUGGGCGCCGAUCGCCAGUGAUCAAUUCUGCGCAGAUCUGGCUCAUCUUGAACGAGCCUAAUUAAUAAAUACCGCUGACACAA